Molecule: ribosomal RNA, 1333 nt
Filed under: metagenome
Description: SSU rRNA
Rfam family: Eukaryotic small subunit ribosomal RNA
Source: RNAcentral
UCUGGUUGAUCCUGCCAGUAGUCAUAUGCUUGUCUCAAAGAUUAAGCCAUGCUUGUCUAAGUAUAAAUAGUAUACAGUGAAACUGCGAAUGGCUCAUUAAAACAGUUAUAGUUUAUUUGAUAAUUGACAAUUACAUGGAUAACCGUGGUAAUUCUAGAGCUAAUACAUGCUUAAACGCCCGACUUUAUGGAAGGGUGGUAUUUAUUAGACUGAAGCCAAUAUUCCUUGUGACUAUUGCGGUGAUUCAUAAUAACUGAUCGAAUCUCUUUUUGAGAUAAAUCAUUCAAGUUUCUGCCCUAUCAGCUUUCGAUGGUAGUGUAUUGGACUACCAUGGCAGUAACGGGUAACGAAGAAUUAGGGUUCGAUUUCGGAGAGGGAGCAUGAGAAACGGCUACCACAUCUAAGGAAGGCAGCAGGCGCGUAAAUUACCCAAUCCUGACUCAGGGAGGUAGUGACAAGAAAUAGCAAACCGGGAACCUCAUGGUUUCACGGUAUUGCAAUGAGAACAAUUUAAAACCCUUAGCGAGAAUCAAGUGGAGGACAAGUCUGGUGCCAGCACCCGCGGUAAUUCCAGCUCCACUAGCGUAUAUUAAAGUUGUUGCAGUUAAAAAGCUCGUAGUUGAACCUCUGUCUGGGGCUAGUUUUGGCUUUGGUCAGGCUAGUUCUAGGCAUCCGCCUACAAGACUUAGAGGGCAUUCAGUUGUUCACUAGGAGGAGUAGGCAUUUUACUUUGAAAAAAUUAGAGUGUUUAAGGCAGGCAAUCGCCCGCAUAUAUUAGCAUGGAAUAAUAGAAUAGCACACUUUUCCAUUUCGUUGGUUAUUGGAAUCGUGUAAUGAUUAAUAGGGACAGUUGUGGGCAUUUGUAUUUAAUUGUCAGAGGUGAAAUUCUUGGAUUUAUUAAAGACAAACUAACGCGAAAGCAUUUGCCAAGGAUGUUUUCAUUAAUCAAGAACGAAAGUUAGGGGAUCAAAGACGAUCAGAUACCGUCCUAGUCUUAACUAUAAACUAUUCCGACUCAAUGUUUGACUGGCUUAUAUAACCAGUUGAGCGUUGUAUGAGAAAUCAAAGUCUUUAGGUUCUGGGGGGAGUAUGGUUGCAAAGCUGAAACUUAAAGGAAUUGACGGAAGAGCACAACCAGGAGUGGAUUCUGCGGCUUAAUUUGACUCUACACGGGGAAACUUACCAGGUUAAAACAAUAGUGGGAUUGACAGUUUGAGAGCGCUUUCUUGAUUGGUAGGGUGGUGGUGCAUGGCCGUUCUUAGUUGGUGGAGUGAUUUGUCUGCUUAAUUGCGUUAACGAACGAGACCUUAACCUGCUUACUAGACUGGCGACC